This 497-nucleotide ribosomal RNA is filed under the name uncultured bacterium. RNAcentral's name for it is "partial 16S ribosomal RNA". It matches the Rfam family "Bacterial small subunit ribosomal RNA", at positions 28 to 507 of the family's 1533-position model. The record is from RNAcentral.
GAUGAACGCUGGCGGCGUGCCUAAUACAUGCAAGUCGAGCGAACAGACGAGGAACUUGCUCCUCUGACGUUAGCGGCGGACGGGUGAGUAACACGUGGAUAACCUACCUAUAAGACUGGGAUAACUUCGGGAAACCGGAGCUAAUACCGGAUAAUAUAUUGAACCGCAUGGUUCAAUAGUGAAAGACGGUUUUGCUGUCACUUAUAGAUGGAUCCGCGCCGCAUUAGCUAGUUGGUAAGGUAACGGCUUACCAAGGCAACGAUGCGUAGCCGACCUGAGAGGGUGAUCGGCCACACUGGAACUGAGACACGGUCCAGACUCCUACGGGAGGCAGCAGUAGGGAAUCCUCCGCAAUGGGCGAAAGCUUGACGGAGCAACGCCGCGUGAGUGAUGAAGGUCUUCGGAUCGUAAAACUCUGUUAUUAGGGAAGAACAAAUGUGUAAGUAACUAUGCACGUCUUGACGGUACCUAAUCAGAAAGCCACGGCUAACUACGUG